GCCGAGAUGGUGAAAUUGGUAUACACAUUAGUUUCAGAAGCUAAUAUAGAGUAUUUUCUAUUUGGAGGUUCGAAUCCUCCUCUCGGCA
Molecule: transfer RNA, 88 nt
Filed under: Candidatus Legionella polyplacis
Lineage: Bacteria; Pseudomonadati; Pseudomonadota; Gammaproteobacteria; Legionellales; Legionellaceae
Description: Legionella endosymbiont of Polyplax serrata tRNA-Leu
Rfam family: tRNA
About the family: Transfer RNA (tRNA) molecules are approximately 80 nucleotides in length. Their secondary structure includes four short double-helical elements and three loops (D, anti-codon, and T loops).
Source: RNAcentral